CCCAGACUCCUACGGAGGCAGCAGUGGGGAAUAUUGGACAAUGGGGGAAACCCUGAUCCAGCGACGCCGCGUGAGUGAAGAAGUAUUUCGGUACGUAAAGCUCUAUCAGCAGGAAAGAAAAUGACGGUACCUGACUAAGAAGCCCCGGCUAACUACGUGCCAGCAGCCGCGGUAAUACGUAGGGGGCAAGCGUUAUCCGGAUUUACUGGGGGUAAAGGGAGCGUAGACGGCAGCGCAAGUCUGGAGUGAAAUGCCGGGGCCCAACCCCGGAACUGCUCUGGAAACUGUGAAGCUGGAGUGCAGGAGAGGUAAGCGGAAUUCCUGGUGUAGCGGUGAAAUGCGUAGAUAUCAGGAGGAACACCGGCGGCGAAGGCGGCGUACUGGACUGUAACUGACGUUGAGGCUCGAAGGCGUGGGGAGCAAACAGGAUUAGAUACCCGCGUAGUA
This 447-nucleotide ribosomal RNA is filed under the name uncultured bacterium. RNAcentral describes it as "bacterial SSU rRNA". It matches the Rfam family "Bacterial small subunit ribosomal RNA", at positions 330 to 795 of the family's 1533-position model. The record is from RNAcentral.